GGUUAAGCGACUAAGCGUACACGGUGGAUGCCCUGGCAGUCAGAGGCGAUGAAGGACGUGCUAAUCUGCGAUAAGCGUCGGUAAGGUGAUAUGAACCGUUAUAACCGGCGAUUUCCGAAUGGGGAAACCCAGUGUGAUUCGUCACACUAUCAUUAACUGAAUCCAUAGGUUAAUGAGGCGAACCGGGGGAACUGAAACAUCUAAGUACCCCGAGGAAAAGAAAUCAACCGAGAUUCCCCCAGUAGCGGCGAGCGAACGGGGAGCAGCCCAGAGCCUGAAUCAGUGUGUGUGUUAGUGGAAGCGUCUGGAAAGGCGCGCGAUACAGGGUGACAGCCCCGUACACAAAAAUGCACAUGCUGUGAGCUCGAUGAGUAGGGCGGGACACGUGGUAUCCUGUCUGAAUAUGGGGGGACCAUCCUCCAAGGCUAAAUACUCCUGACUGACCGAUAGUGAACCAGUACCGUGAGGGAAAGGCGAAAAGAACCCCGGCGAGGGGAGUGAAAAAGAACCUGAAACCGUGUACGUACAAGCAGUGGGAGCACGCUUAGGCGUGUGACUGCGUACCUUUUGUAUAAUGGGUCAGCGACUUAUAUUCUGUAGCAAGGUUAACCGAAUAGGGGAGCCGAAGGGAAACCGAGUCUUAACUGGGCGUUAAGUUGCAGGGUAUAGACCCGAAACCCGGUGAUCUAGCCAUGGGCAGGUUGAAGGUUGGGUAACACUAACUGGAGGACCGAACCGACUAAUGUUGAAAAAUUAGCGGAUGACUUGUGGCUGGGGGUGAAAGGCCAAUCAAACCGGGAGAUAGCUGGUUCUCCCCGAAAGCUAUUUAGGUAGCGCCUCGUGAAUUCAUCUCCGGGGGUAGAGCACUGUUUCGGCAAGGGGGUCAUCCCGACUUACCAACCCGAUGCAAACUGCGAAUACCGGAGAAUGUUAUCACGGGAGACACACGGCGGGUGCUAACGUCCGUCGUGAAGAGGGAAACAACCCAGACCGCCAGCUAAGGUCCCAAAGUCAUGGUUAAGUGGGAAACGAUGUGGGAAGGCCCAGACAGCCAGGAUGUUGGCUUAGAAGCAGCCAUCAUUUAAAGAAAGCGUAAUAGCUCACUGGUCGAGUCGGCCUGCGCGGAAGAUGUAACGGGGCUAAACCAUGCACCGAAGCUGCGGCAGCGACACUAUGUGUUGUUGGGUAGGGGAGCGUUCUGUAAGCCUGUGAAGGUGGCCUGUGAGGGUUGCUGGAGGUAUCAGAAGUGCGAAUGCUGACAUAAGUAACGAUAAAGCGGGUGAAAAGCCCGCUCGCCGGAAGACCAAGGGUUCCUGUCCAACGUUAAUCGGGGCAGGGUGAGUCGACCCCUAAGGCGAGGCCGAAAGGCGUAGUCGAUGGGAAACAGGUUAAUAUUCCUGUACUUGGUGUUACUGCGAAGGGGGGACGGAGAAGGCUAUGUUGGCCGGGCGACGGUUGUCCCGGUUUAAGCGUGUAGGCUGGUUUUCCAGGCAAAUCCGGAAAAUCAAGGCUGAGGCGUGAUGACGAGGCACUACGGUGCUGAAGCAACAAAUGCCCUGCUUCCAGGAAAAGCCUCUAAGCAUCAGGUAACAUCAAAUCGUACCCCAAACCGACACAGGUGGUCAGGUAGAGAAUACCAAGGCGCUUGAGAGAACUCGGGUGAAGGAACUAGGCAAAAUGGUGCCGUAACUUCGGGAGAAGGCACGCUGAUAUGUAGGUGAAGUCCCUCGCGGAUGGAGCUGAAAUCAGUCGAAGAUACCAGCUGGCUGCAACUGUUUAUUAAAAACACAGCACUGUGCAAACACGAAAGUGGACGUAUACGGUGUGACGCCUGCCCGGUGCCGGAAGGUUAAUUGAUGGGGUUAGCGCAAGCGAAGCUCUUGAUCGAAGCCCCGGUAAACGGCGGCCGUAACUAUAACGGUCCUAAGGUAGCGAAAUUCCUUGUCGGGUAAGUUCCGACCUGCACGAAUGGCGUAAUGAUGGCCAGGCUGUCUCCACCCGAGACUCAGUGAAAUUGAACUCGCUGUGAAGAUGCAGUGUACCCGCGGCAAGACGGAAAGACCCCGUGAACCUUUACUAUAGCUUGACACUGAACAUUGAGCCUUGAUGUGUAGGAUAGGUGGGAGGCUUUGAAGUGUGGACGCCAGUCUGCAUGGAGCCGACCUUGAAAUACCACCCUUUAAUGUUUGAUGUUCUAACGUGGACCCGUAAUCCGGGUUGCGGACAGUGUCUGGUGGGUAGUUUGACUGGGGCGGUCUCCUCCUAAAGAGUAACGGAGGAGCACGAAGGUUGGCUAAUCCUGGUCGGACAUCAGGAGGUUAGUGCAAUGGCAUAAGCCAGCUUGACUGCGAGCGUGACGGCGCGAGCAGGUGCGAAAGCAGGUCAUAGUGAUCCGGUGGUUCUGAAUGGAAGGGCCAUCGCUCAACGGAUAAAAGGUACUCCGGGGAUAACAGGCUGAUACCGCCCAAGAGUUCAUAUCGACGGCGGUGUUUGGCACCUCGAUGUCGGCUCAUCACAUCCUGGGGCUGAAGUAGGUCCCAAGGGUAUGGCUGUUCGCCAUUUAAAGUGGUACGCGAGCUGGGUUUAGAACGUCGUGAGACAGUUCGGUCCCUAUCUGCCGUGGGCGCUGGAGAAUUGAGGGGGGCUGCUCCUAGUACGAGAGGACCGGAGUGGACGCAUCACUGGUGUUCGGGUUGUCAUGCCAAUGGCACUGCCCGGUAGCUAAAUGCGGAAGAGAUAAGUGCUGAAAGCAUCUAAGCACGAAACUUGCCCCGAGAUGAGUUCUCCCUGACUCCUUGAGAGUCCUGAAGGAACGUUGAAGACGACGACGUUGAUAGGCCGGGUGUGUAAGCGCAGCGAUGCGUUGAGCUAACCGGUACUAAUGAACCGUGAGGCUUAACCUU
This 2903-nucleotide ribosomal RNA is filed under the name Escherichia coli O112ab:H8. Its description in RNAcentral is "23S ribosomal RNA". It matches the Rfam family "Bacterial large subunit ribosomal RNA". Lineage: Bacteria; Pseudomonadati; Pseudomonadota; Gammaproteobacteria; Enterobacterales; Enterobacteriaceae. The record is from RNAcentral.